UACGAAGGGGGCUAGCGUUGCUCGGAAUUACUGGGCGUAAAGGGCGCGUAGGCGGAUGUUUAAGUUGGGGGUGAAAGCCCGGGGCUCAACCUCGGAAUGGCAUGGGAAACUGGCGAGCUAGAGUUCGGCAGAGGGAAGCGGAAUUUCCGGUGUAGCGGUGAAAUGCGUAGAUAUCGGAAGGAACAUCAGUGGCGAAAGCGGCUUCCUGGACCAGAACUGACGAUCAGGCACGAAAGCGUGGGGGAGACAAAGCAGGGAUUAAGCAAACCCG
RNAcentral lists this ribosomal RNA (271 nucleotides) under uncultured bacterium. Its description in RNAcentral is "partial 16S ribosomal RNA". It matches the Rfam family "Bacterial small subunit ribosomal RNA", at positions 524 to 789 of the family's 1533-position model. The record is from RNAcentral.